This 63-nucleotide transfer RNA is filed under the name Prosopocoilus gracilis. RNAcentral describes it as "tRNA-Ile". The record is from RNAcentral. Lineage: Eukaryota; Metazoa; Arthropoda; Insecta; Coleoptera; Lucanidae.
AAUAGGGUGCCUGAUAAAAGGGUUGUCUUGAUAGGGCAGACUAUGUGCGGUGCACCUCUAUUA